RNAcentral lists this ribosomal RNA (395 nucleotides) under uncultured bacterium. Its description in RNAcentral is "bacterial SSU rRNA". It matches the Rfam family "Bacterial small subunit ribosomal RNA", at positions 505 to 898 of the family's 1533-position model. The record is from RNAcentral.
GUGUCAGCAGCCGCGGUAAUACGUAGGGGGCAAGCGUUGUCCGGAAUCAUUGGGCGUAAAGAGCGCGUAGGCGGCCCAGUAAGUCCGCUCUGAAAGUCAGGGGCUCAACCCCUGAAUGCGGGUGGAUACUGCUGGGCUAGAGUCCGGAAGAGGCGAGUGGAAUUCCUGGUGUAGCGGUGAAAUGCGCAGAUAUCAGGAGGAACACCGAUGGCGAAGGCAGCUCGCUGGGACGGUACUGACGCUGAGGCGCGAAAGCGUGGGGAGCAAACAGGAUUAGAUACCCUGGUAGUCCACGCCGUAAACGAUGGACACUAGGUGUGGGAGGUGUCGACUCCUCCCGUGCCGAAGCUAACGCAUUAAGUGUCCCGCCUGGGGAGUACGGCCGCAAGGCUAAA